Molecule: non-coding RNA, 100 nt
Filed under: Clostridiales bacterium oral taxon 876 str. F0540
Lineage: Bacteria; Bacillati; Bacillota; Clostridia; Eubacteriales
Also listed under: 1 other name
Description: THF (Tetrahydrofolate) riboswitch aptamer
Rfam family: THF (Tetrahydrofolate) riboswitch aptamer
About the family: THF riboswitch presents a pseudoknot that joins P1-P2 and the loop of P3 and two THF binding.
Source: Rfam by way of RNAcentral
GGCAGAGUAGAUAAAUGUGCGUCAAGUGCUAGUUGGACGGGAAGUUGCCGCUAGACGAAAGCUUUAAAAAGCUGCGGUGCAUUUAUCGCAUUCCGCUGCC